RNAcentral lists this ribosomal RNA (430 nucleotides) under uncultured bacterium. Its description in RNAcentral is "partial 16S ribosomal RNA". It matches the Rfam family "Bacterial small subunit ribosomal RNA", at positions 354 to 796 of the family's 1533-position model. The record is from RNAcentral.
GUGGGGAAUAUUGCACAAUGGGCGGAAGCCUGAUGCAGCAACGCCGCGUGAGGGAUGACGGCCUUCGGGUUGUAAACCUCUUUUAGCAGGGAAGAAGCGAAAGUGACGGUACCUGCAGAAAAAGCACCGGCUAACUACGUGCCAGCAGCCGCGGUAAUACGUAGGGUGCAAGCGUUAUCCGGAAUUAUUGGGCGUAAAGAGCUCGUAGGCGGUCUGUCGCGUCUGCUGUGAAAUUCCGAGGCUCAACCUCGGGCUUGCAGUGGGUACGGGCAGACUAGAGUGCGGUAGGGGAGAUUGGAAUUCCUGGUGUAGCGGUGGAAUGCGCAGAUAUCAGGAGGAACACCGAUGGCGAAGGCAGAUCUCUGGGCCGUAACUGACGCUGAGGAGCGAAAGGGUGGGGAGCAAACAGGCUUAGAAACCCGGGUAGUCC